UGCUGUGGCUCAGUCGGUAGAGCGUCGCCUUGGUAAGGCGGAGGUCACCAGUUCGAAUCUGGUCAGC
Molecule: transfer RNA, 67 nt
Filed under: bovine gut metagenome
Rfam family: tRNA
About the family: Transfer RNA (tRNA) molecules are approximately 80 nucleotides in length. Their secondary structure includes four short double-helical elements and three loops (D, anti-codon, and T loops).
Source: RNAcentral